AGCGAACGCUGGCGGCAGGCUUAACACAUGCAAGUCGAACGGGCAUAGCAAUAUGUCAGUGGCAGACGGGUGAGUAACGCGGGGUAACGUACCUUUUGUUUCGGAACAACACAGGGAAACUUGUGCUAAUACCGGAUAAGUCCUUACGGGGAAAGAUUUAUCGCCGGAAGAUCGGCCCGCGUCUGAUUAGCUGGUUGGUAGGGUAAUCGACUACCAAGGCGAGGAGCAGUUGUUGGUCUGAGAGGAGGAACAGCCACAUUGGGACUGAGACACGACUCAAACGCGUACGAGAGGCAGGGGAGAGGAAUAUAGGAGAGUGAGCGAAAGGCUGAGCCAGCGAUGCCGGGAGAGUGAUGAAGGCGCUAGGGUUGUAAAGCGCUUGUGUGCGAGAAGAUAGUGACGGUACCGAAAGAAUAAGCACCGGCUAACUUCGUG
RNAcentral lists this ribosomal RNA (435 nucleotides) under uncultured bacterium. Its description in RNAcentral is "partial 16S ribosomal RNA". It matches the Rfam family "Bacterial small subunit ribosomal RNA", at positions 29 to 507 of the family's 1533-position model. The record is from RNAcentral.